CAACAGUGCAGGCAACAUAUCCUGGUUUCUCUCUGUGGUCAUGCACCCGGACACAGAUUAGGAUGAAAGCACCAAUAUACCACGGAAUGGCAGCCAAGAAGAACCCGGCAAUGAACCUUUGUUCCAGCAAGAGAACGGAACUUUGUGAGGGACUGAUUUAACUUCAGAAAGUAAGGCAAAAUAGCAAGCAUAUUGGGAGGCACUCACAGAAGCCAACCCAUGCCGAGCCCACAGCAUGGAAGGGGCCGCAUUCUCAUGGGUCUGCCUUCAACGGGCCUUCCUUGAACAACAGGACCAUAACCUGAGGCAACAGAAACAGGACUAUCAUAUAACAUGGAUGCAUAUUUUUCAGUCUUGUGACAAUCUUAGGAU
This 372-nucleotide long non-coding RNA is filed under the name Hordeum vulgare. RNAcentral's name for it is "long non-coding RNA (HVUL_LNC002356)". The record is from RNAcentral. Lineage: Eukaryota; Viridiplantae; Streptophyta; Magnoliopsida; Poales; Poaceae.